This 491-nucleotide ribosomal RNA is filed under the name Nudisyllis tinihekea. RNAcentral describes it as "partial 16S ribosomal RNA". It matches the Rfam family "Bacterial large subunit ribosomal RNA", at positions 1811 to 2608 of the family's 2925-position model. The record is from RNAcentral. Lineage: Eukaryota; Metazoa; Annelida; Polychaeta; Phyllodocida; Syllidae.
AAACAUAGCCUUAUGGUGUAAUAUUUAUAAGGUGAAUUCUGCCCAGUGAAAUUUAAACGGCCGCGGUAUCCUGACCGUGCAAAGGUAGCAUAAUCAUUUGCCUCUUAAUUAGAGGCUAGUAUGAAAGAAUAAACAAGAAAAAAGCUGUCUUAAUUUUAAAAAUAAAAAUUAAACUUUAGGUGAAGAUGCCUAAAUACACUCAAAAGACAAGAAGACCCUAUCAAGCUUAAUAAUAUAAUAUAAUACUCAUAAUAUAAUUAUUUUAUUGGGGCGAUAAUAAUUUUCUAUAAACACUUUAAUAUCUAAAGAAAUAUAUUUCAAAAAACUUUUCUAAAAUAUAAGAAAGCUACUGUAGGGAUAACAGGCUAAUAUUUUUCAAGAGCUCUUAUCAACAAAAAUGAUUGGCACCUCGAUGUUGGCUUAGGAAACCUAUUUUAUGCAGCAGUAAAAAAAGGGGGUUUGUUCAACCUUUAAUAUCCUACAUGAUCUGA